GAUCCUGGCUCAGAAUCAACGCUGGCGGCGUGCCUAACACAUGCAAGUCGAACGCGAAAGCCCCGCAAGGGGUGAGUAGAGUGGCAAACGGGUGAGUAACACGUGGGUGACCUGCCUUCGAGUGGGGGAUAACGUUCCGAAAGGAGCGCUAAUACCGCAUGACAUUCUGCGUUUGGAAACGUGGAAAUCAAAGCCGGGGAUCGCAAGACCUGGCGCUCGGAGAGGGGCCCGCGGCCGAUUAGCUAGUUGGUGGGGUAACGGCUCACCAAGGCAACGAUCGGUAUCCGGCCUGAGAGGGCGGACGGACACACUGGGACUGAGACACGGCCCAGACUCCUACGGGAGGCAGCAGUGGGGAAUUGUUCGCAAUGGGCGCAAGCCUGACGACGCAACGCCGCGUGGAGGACGAAGAUCUUCGGGUCGUAAACUCCUUUCGAUCGGGACGAACGGGUUCGGUGUAACAGCCCGGGCAGCAGUCACGGUACCAAAAGAAGACCCCGGACUAAUCCCGGC
Molecule: ribosomal RNA, 513 nt
Filed under: uncultured bacterium
Lineage: Bacteria
Description: bacterial SSU rRNA
Rfam family: Bacterial small subunit ribosomal RNA
Source: RNAcentral